RNAcentral lists this ribosomal RNA (253 nucleotides) under uncultured bacterium. RNAcentral's name for it is "partial 16S ribosomal RNA". It matches the Rfam family "Bacterial small subunit ribosomal RNA", at positions 524 to 776 of the family's 1533-position model. The record is from RNAcentral.
UACGGAGGAUUCAAGCGUUAUCCGGAUUUAUUGGGUUUAAAGGGUGCGCAGGCGGGAAGCCAAGUCAGCUGUGAAAACUACGGGCUUAACUUGUAGACUGCAGUUGAAACUGGUUUUCUUGAGUGAAGUAGAGGUUGGCGGAAUUCCGAGUGUAGCGGUGAAAUGCGUAGAUAUUCGGAGGAACACCGGUGGCGAAGGCGGCCAACUGGGCUUUAACUGACGCUGAGGCUCGAAAGUGUGGGGAGCAAACAGG